Molecule: RNA transcript, 1618 nt
Organism: Aegilops tauschii subsp. strangulata
Lineage: Eukaryota; Viridiplantae; Streptophyta; Magnoliopsida; Poales; Poaceae
Source: RefSeq, a predicted model, not a curated record
UUCCCCAUUUUUCCUCUCCACUCGCAGCGGACCGGAAAAUCUCUCCGGCGGCGCCGGCGCCGCCGCCGCCGGCGAAGCGCCAUCCUCUCCGGUCUCUCCUCCUCUUCUCUUCCUCCGUGCCUUCACCUGUCUCGCCGGGGCGCCGCAUCCCCGCCUCCGAAGCACCAUCCCAUUCGCACCCGCCUCCAUAGGGAAUCAAUCUCUCCGCCGCCGCCGCCGCCGCCAUGCUCCGCCUCCGUGGCUGCAUCCUCGUGCGGCUCCUCUCUUCCCCCGCCACCUCCCAGGGCCCCCCUCUCCACCGCCCCCUCUCCGCGGCCGCCCCGCGCCCGCCGUUUCCCCAAACCCUAGCUUCGCCGCCGACGACUACCUCGUCUCCACCUGCGGCCUCACCCGAGCCCAGGCGCUCAAGGCCUCCGCCAAGCUCUCCCACCUCAAGUCCCCGUCCAAGCCCGACGCCGUCCUCGCCUUCCUCGCCGGCCUCGGCCUCUCCGGCGCCGACGUCGCCUCCGUCGUCGCCAAGGACCCGCUGUUCCUCUGCGCCAGCGUGGAGAAAACCCUGGGGCCCAUCGCAAUUGAGCUCGCCGGCCUCGGCCUGUCGCAUUCCGAGAUCGCGCGCCUCGUCCUGCUCUCCUUCGUCCACUUCCGUUCCAGGUCCAUUGUUUCCAAGCUGCAGUACUACCUGCCCCUGUUCGGCUCCUCGGAGAACCUCUUCCGGGUGCUGAAGCUCGGCUACCUCCCCGGUGCUGACAUUGAGGGGACGGUCAAACCCAACGUCGCGCUCCUACGGCAGUGCGGGCUAGAUGAUUGCGAUAUCACCAAGCUGUCCCUCAGUAAGCGCGGAGUCCUGAGCAGCAAGCCAGAGCGCAUCGGGGCGAUGGUGGCAUGCGCCGAAGGCCUUGGCGUGCCUCGUGGCUCGGGGAUGUUCAGGCACGCGUUGGAUGCUGUCGGAUUCCUCGGUGAGGAGAAGAUCGCCGCCAAAGUGGCCUACUUGAAGAAGACGUUCAGGUGGUCAGACGCUGAGGUGAGCAUUGCUCUGCGUAAGGCUCCGUCUGUGCUGAGGAAGUCAAAGGAAUUACUGCAGCGCAGGUCUGAUUUCCUCAUCUCUGAGGUGGGGUUGGAACCGUCCUACAUUGCUGAACGGUCAGUAAUUAUCAAUUACAAGCUGGAGGGCCGGAUGAAACCCCGGUACUACGUUGUAAAGUUCCUCAUGGAAAAUGGAUUGCUCAAGUGCAACCCAGGCUACUACCAGACCGCUUUCAAGGUGAGAGAGAAGGUAUUCAUGGAGAAGUUCAUUUGCCCUCACAAGGAAGUUGCGCCGCACCUCUCUGAAGACUAUGCAACAGCUUGUGAAGGGGUAGUGCCGGCUAGAUUCAGAUUUACAUGAACCAAGGACUGGGUUCUCACCAUGCCUGCGAAGCUGGUCUGAUGGCUGCGAAGGAAGAUGCAUUCUGGGCUCUAGUGUGUGCGUGUGUACAUUACAUUCAAGAGUCAUAUCAGGUACUCUAAUUUGGAUCGAUCGCUAUGGACAAUGGUCGUGCCAGCUUUAGUUUGGUGCGCAGAGAGUAAUAAUCUUCUGCAACUUAUUACCCACAACCUGAUACUACUGGUCUUUCUUCUA